This 800-nucleotide ribosomal RNA is filed under the name uncultured bacterium. RNAcentral describes it as "bacterial SSU rRNA". It matches the Rfam family "Bacterial small subunit ribosomal RNA", at positions 8 to 801 of the family's 1533-position model. The record is from RNAcentral.
AGAGUUUGAUCCUGGCUCAGAUUGAACGCUGGCGGCAUGCUUUACGCAUGCAAGUCGAACGGCAGCACGGGUGCUUGCACCUGGUGGCGAGUGGCGAACGGGUGAGUAAUAUAUCGGAACAUGUCCGGAAGUGGGGGAUAACGUAGCGAAAGUUACGCUAAUACCGCAUAUGCCCUGAGGGGGAAAGGGGGGGAUCGCAAGACCUCUCGCUUUCGGAGUGGCCGAUAUCAGAUUAGCUAGUUGGUGGGGUAAAGGCCUACCAAGGCGACGAUCUGUAGCUGGUCUGAGAGGACGACCAGCCACACUGGGACUGGGACACGGCCCAGACUCCUACGGGAGGCAGCAGUGGGGAAUUUUGGACAAUGGGGGCAACCCUGAUCCAGCCAUGCCGCGUGAGUGAAGAAGGCCUUCGGGUUGUAAAGCUCUUUCAGCCGGAAAGAAAUCGCACUGGUUAAUACCUUGUGUGGAUGACGGUACCGGAAGAAGAAGCACCGGCUAACUACGUGCCAGCAGCCGCGGUAAUACGUAGGGUGCGAGCGUUAAUCGGAAUUACUGGGCGUAAAGCGUGCGCAGGCGGUUUUGUAAGACAGACGUGAAAUCCCCGGGCUUAACCUGGGAACUGCGUUUGUGACUGCAAGGCUAGAGUACGGCAGAGGGGGGUAGAAUUCCACGUGUAGCAGUGAAAUGCGUAGAUAUGUGGAGGAAUACCGAUGGCGAAGGCAGCCCCCUGGGUCGAUACUGACGCUCAUGCACGAAAGCGUGGGGAGCAAACAGGAUUAGAUACCCUGGUAGUCCACGCC